Molecule: transfer RNA, 74 nt
Filed under: Babesia sp. Xinjiang
Lineage: Eukaryota; Apicomplexa; Aconoidasida; Piroplasmida; Babesiidae
Description: tRNA-His
Rfam family: tRNA
About the family: Transfer RNA (tRNA) molecules are approximately 80 nucleotides in length. Their secondary structure includes four short double-helical elements and three loops (D, anti-codon, and T loops). Further hydrogen bonds mediate the characteristic L-shaped molecular structure. tRNAs have two regions of fundamental functional importance: the anti-codon, which is responsible for specific mRNA codon recognition, and the 3' end, to which the tRNAs corresponding amino acid is attached (by aminoacyl-tRNA synthetases). tRNAs cope with the degeneracy of the genetic code in two manners: having more than one tRNA (with a specific anti-codon) for a particular amino acid; and 'wobble' base-pairing, i.e. permitting non-standard base-pairing at the 3rd anti-codon position.
Source: RNAcentral
GUAAAUAUAUCCAAACGGUUAAGGAAAAAAAUUGUGGAUUUUUAAAAUAUGAGUUCGAUUCCCAUUAUUUACCU